Molecule: ribosomal RNA, 254 nt
Filed under: uncultured bacterium
Lineage: Bacteria
Description: partial 16S ribosomal RNA
Rfam family: Bacterial small subunit ribosomal RNA
Source: RNAcentral
UACGUAGGGCGCGAGCGUUGUCCGGAAUUAUUGGGCGUAAAGAGCUCGUAGGCGGUUCGAUAAGUCGGACGUGAAAUCUCCACGCUCAACGUGGAGGGGCCGUUCGAUACUGUCGUGACUCGAGUCCGGUAGGGGAGUGUGGAAUUCCCGGUGUAGCGGUGAAAUGCGCAGAGAUCGGGAGGAACACCCGUAGCGAAGGCGGCACUCUGGGCCGGUACUGACGCUGAGGAGCGAAAGCGUGGGGAGCAAACAGG